CACUCCUACGGGAGGCAGCAGUGGGGAAUUUUGGACAAUGGGCGAAAGCCUGAUCCAGCAAUGCCGCGUGAGUGAAGAAGGCCUUCGGGUUGUAAAGCUCUUUUGUCAGGGAAGAAACGGUGAAAGCUAAUAUCUUUUGCUAAUGACGGUACCUGAAGAAUAAGCACCGGCUAACUACGUGCCAGCAGCCGCGGUAAUACGUAGGGUGCAAGCGUUAAUCGGAAUUACUGGGCGUAAAGCGUGCGCAGGCGGUUUUGUAAGUCUGAUGUGAAAUCCCCGGGCUCAACCUGGGAAUUGCAUUGGAGACUGCAAGGCUAGAAUCUGGCAGAGGGGGGUAGAAUUCCACGUGUAGCAGUGAAAUGCGUAGAUAUGUGGAGGAACACCGAUGGCGAAGGCAGCCCCCUGGGUCAAGAUUGACGCUCAUGCACGAAAGCGUGGGGAGCAAACAGGAUUAGAAACCCGAGUAGUCCCAU
This 473-nucleotide ribosomal RNA is filed under the name uncultured organism. Its description in RNAcentral is "partial 16S ribosomal RNA". It matches the Rfam family "Bacterial small subunit ribosomal RNA", at positions 334 to 798 of the family's 1533-position model. The record is from RNAcentral.